CGAUGUAGGAAGAACAAAGAAUUGGUAAGUUAAUUCAUAUUACGCAUUGUUACGUACACCAUGCUAUUUUCUAGAAUUUGAGAUGUGACGUCUUGAAGUGGUGAUGACGUAACAGAACAACCAACUUCAAUAUGAUAUAUAUGUGACGUCACAGAGGAUUAAGCGGACCAUCGCACAUAAAGAAGAAUGAAGAAAUAUCGGCACUAAGCUGCAGAAGAAAAGCACAAGCCGAAGAACAAAGACGAAAACGCCAUUGAAGGAAAUAUGGUUUGAGGUUUUUAGUUUUGUGUUAUGUGUGUUUGAUUGCGCUGUUGUGUUGUCAGCUAUAAUUCUGCUGGAGCUAACUUUGCCAGCUUUUUUUAG
Long non-coding RNA from Ciona intestinalis (vase tunicate), 363 nucleotides. RefSeq lists it as uncharacterized. The record is from RefSeq and is a predicted model, not a curated record. Lineage: Eukaryota; Metazoa; Chordata; Ascidiacea; Phlebobranchia; Cionidae.